CAUGCAGUCGAACGAUGAAACCUCCUUCGGGAGGGGAUUAGUGGCGAACGGGUGAGUAACACGUGGGCAAUCUGCCCUGCACUCUGGGACAAGCCCUGGAAACGGGGUCUAAUACCGGAUAUGAGCCUGGGAGGCAUCUCCCGGGUUGUAAAGCUCCGGCGGUGCAGGAUGAGCCCGCGGCCUAUCAGCUUGUUGGUGAGGUAACGGCUCACCAAGGCGACGACGGGUAGCCGGCCUGAGAGGGCGACCGGCCACACUGGGACUGAGACACGGCCCAGACUCCUACGGGAGGCAGCAGUGGGGAAUAUUGCACAAUGGGCGCAAGCCUGAUGCAGCGACGCCGCGUGAGGGAUGACGGCCUUCGGGUUGUAAACCUCUUUCAGCAGGGAAGAAGCGAAAGUGACGGUACCUGCAGAAGAAGCGCCGGCUAACUACGUGCCAGCAGCCGCGGUAAUACGUAGGGCGCAAGCGUUGUCCGGAAUUAUUGGGCGUAAAGAGCUCGUAGGCGGCUUGUCACGUCGGAUGUGAAAGCCCGGGGCUUAACCCCGGGUCUGCAUUCGAUACGGGCAGGCUAGAGUUCGGUAGGGGAGAUCGGAAUUCCUGGUGUAGCGGUGAAAUGCGCAGAUAUCAGGAGGAACACCGGUGGCGAAGGCGGAUCUCUGGGCCGAUACUGACGCUGAGGAGCGAAAGCGUGGGGAGCGAACAGGAUUAGAUACCCUGGUAGUCCACGCCGUAAACGGUGGGCACUAGGUGUGGGCAACAUUCCACGUUGUCCGUGCCGCAGCUAACGCAUUAAGUGCCCCGCCUGGGGAGUACGGCCGCAAGGCUAAAACUCAAAGGAAUUGACGGGGGCCCGCACAAGCGGCGGAGCAUGUGGCUUAAUUCGACGCAACGCGAAGAACCUUACCAAGGCUUGACAUACACCGGAAACGUCCAGAGAUGGGCUCCCCCUUGUGGUCGGUGUACAGGUGGUGCAUGGCUGUCGUCAGCUCGUGUCGUGAAAUGUUGGGUUAAGUCCCGCAACGAGCGCAACCCUUGUCCCGUGUUGCCAGCAGGCCCUUGUGGUGCUGGGGACUCACGGGAGACCGCCGGGGUCAACUCGGAGGAAGGUGGGGACGACGUCAAGUCAUCAUGCCCCUUAUGUCUUGGGCUGCAC
RNAcentral lists this ribosomal RNA (1156 nucleotides) under Streptomyces antibioticus. Its description in RNAcentral is "bacterial SSU rRNA". It matches the Rfam family "Bacterial small subunit ribosomal RNA", at positions 54 to 1219 of the family's 1533-position model. Lineage: Bacteria; Bacillati; Actinomycetota; Actinomycetes; Kitasatosporales; Streptomycetaceae. The record is from RNAcentral.